RNAcentral lists this ribosomal RNA (484 nucleotides) under uncultured bacterium. RNAcentral describes it as "partial 16S ribosomal RNA". It matches the Rfam family "Bacterial small subunit ribosomal RNA", at positions 30 to 507 of the family's 1533-position model. The record is from RNAcentral.
AUUGAACGCUGGCGGCAGGCCUAACACAUGCGAGUCGAGCGGAUGAAGGGAGCUUGCUCCUGGAUUCAGCGGCGGACGGGUGAGUAAUGCCUAGGAAUCUGCCUGGUAGUGGGGGAUAACGUCCGGAAGCGGGCGCUAAUACCGCAUACGUCCUGAGGGAGAAAGUGGGGGAUCUUCGGACCUCACGCUAUCAGAUGAGCCUAGGUCGGAUUAGCUAGUUGGUGGGGUAAAGGCCUACCAAGGCGACGAUCCGUAACUGGUCUGAGAGGAUGAUCAGUCACACUGGAACUGAGACACGGUCCAGACUCCCACGGGAGGCAGCAGUGGGGAAUAUUGGACAAUGGGCGAAAGCCUGAUCCAGCCAUGCCGCGUGUGUGAAGAAGGUCUUCGGAUUGUAAAGCACUUUAAGUUGGGAGGAAGGGCAGUAAGUUAAUACCUUGCUGUUUUGACGUUACCAACAGAAUAAGCACCGGCUAACUUCGUG